UACGGAGGGUGCAAGCAUUAAUCGGAAUUACUGGGCGUAAAGGGCGCGUAGGCGGUUUAAUAAGUCAUAAGUGAAAUUCCAGAGCUUAACUCUGGAGCAGCAGAUGAAACUAUUAGACUAGAGUAGGAGCGGAGAAAACGGAAUUUCCCAUGUAGCGGUGAAAUGCGUGGAUAUGGGAAGGAACACCGGUGGCGAAAGCGGUUUUCUAGCUUUUAACUGACGCUGAGGCGCGAGAGCAAGGGGAGCAAAC
Molecule: ribosomal RNA, 250 nt
Filed under: uncultured bacterium
Lineage: Bacteria
Description: partial 16S ribosomal RNA
Rfam family: Bacterial small subunit ribosomal RNA
Source: RNAcentral